Molecule: non-coding RNA, 605 nt
Organism: Physcomitrium patens
Lineage: Eukaryota; Viridiplantae; Streptophyta; Bryopsida; Funariales; Funariaceae
Source: RefSeq, a predicted model, not a curated record
GUGCUGUCGGGGGGCCAUCGUUCGUCUUCGCUGCCAAUCUCACUCGCCGCUGCUGCUGCUGCUGCUUCUCCUUCCUCUUCUUCUUCUUCUUCUUCUUCUGUUGCUUCUUGUCCGUCGCGUCCUAUUUAGCUUGCUAGCCAUGGCCGGAGGUCCUUAUUCCGGUUCUAGCACUUUGGCCCUUGUGGCUAGGAUAUCCGCUGUCUCUAUCGGUGUCGUUUACGGCAGCAUGAAGCUUGCCUAUCUCAAGGCGAAAGAGCCGGCCCCAGCUAAGCACUAGGUGUGGAAUCCGGAGAAGUGGGGAUGCUGAGAAUGGACAGCUGAGGGCAUGUUGUGUUACCGAAGCUCGCUGGAUGGCAGUGGACGAGAGCAUCUCGUGGAUUUUUGCAGGAAUUGGUGGAUCUUAAUGUAGGAAAAUGAAUCGUCCGCUUUACCGAAUUUAUGGUAGCAAUGGACAAGUUUAUAACAUGGGUACAGCAGUCGGAUCUUUUCUGUUUUGCAUGAUCUGCUGAUUUGCGAUCCACGGAUGAGCUGGGCCACGUCGCACAUGUUGAUAUAAAGUGGCUUGUUAAGAAGCCUUUCCUCUGCAUUAGUUGCGCUUCCAAAUU